GGAAAGGCAACUUUGAUAAUACAUGAUUCUGUAAACAGAUUACCGAUCUGUUCUUGGUAUUCAUGAUGACAUAAUCCGCUUGAUGAGGAUGAGAAAUCAAACUAGAUCUUUAUGAGACCGUCUUGAAUCAUCCGCUUGAGAUUCCAGGUAUCGUCCUUGCACCUAUAAGACCAAUACGCCCACCCAAAAGUGGCACGCCCGUAAACAUCUUGCUGAGCCUUGGCAAACUUUCCCGAAUCCUCCUUUGUUGCCCCGUCGAAGGCCAAUGCCGAGGUCCAUUCCCCUGCAAAAACCAAUUUAGCUCGCAAAUGUCAUUACAUGUAUGUGCUCUAGCACACGCGUCAUGUGUACCUGUAUGCUCUAUAUUAAACAUGCUCCCGUUGCUUUCUAACCACACGGUAGGACUCACCAACAAAGCUCAAGGAGCUGUUUUCCGGGGUUACGUUGCUCAGAUCGGAAGCUCUUUUGUUAUAGAUGUAGUCAAUGUUCUGCUGCAGAUUCCACUGUUGAAACAUCUGAUUAAAGAGGUUGUAGUAAUGCACGUCGAUGACGACUCGGCUCAAGCCUCUCACGAACUAAAGGAGCUCUCGAGGGUCGGCUGGUCCCAACCGGUUGGACAUGAUGACAUAAGCAUUCAGAGUGUGACUUCUCACGGCAUCAUAACCUAACCGGUAGUAUUUAGUAAGAUCCUCCAACUUGACACCCGGAGUUAGAGGCUCGUUCAUCAGCUCGAUCGCAACCAAUGCCGGGUGGUUGCCAUAUCCACUUGACAAUCAUAAGGGGAGAAUGCUAUGAAACAUCUGAUUAUAAGAUCUAGCAUACUAAAUAUUAAUACCAAUGGUUGCGAUUCAUCAGCAAUACUACAGAGAUAUUUGUCAUGAGGGAUUUGUUUAAAUUGAGAACUCAUCUGCCAGACCUUGCUGCUAGGAAGUCUAUAACUUUCACGGUCUCCUCAAUGUAAGAGUCACCCCAUUCCAGAAAUCCAUCUCUCGAUGCGCUAUGAAAUUGGCCGUUUUGAGAUCCCGGAGCAGCGUGGAGAUCAACUAUAACCUUCAUACCAUGCUUCCUGCAAAAAGAAAAGUUCAAUUGUUCAAGGUUAGACUCACAAGAUUCUUGUAACUUCGAUGGACCGACUUAAGCAAAGACUGGCUUCCUAUAAAGAUCCUCCACUGCACACUUUCUGUUGGAGUUAUUCAACUAAGAUGUAAAAGUAUCGAAAGUCGCUUACGCUGCCCAUGUAAAUGCGUUGUCCAGUGCAUUCAGCGAGCCUCCCACAAAAGGCGCUGGCGGCGCCGGAUCAUACGCAAUCCACCAUCCUACUGGAAUCCUCACGGCAGUUAGACUAUUGGCCGCCAUAAAUUCAAAGUCCUGCUCGGUAAUGUAAUUGUUCCAAUGAUCCUGCAGAGCAAAUUUGUUUAGAGAUUACUGAUCCAUUUAGUCACUGUAUUACUAUUUCAUGCUUACUUUGCCACUAAUUAAUUGGGGAUUACCCGUAGGAGUUUUGGGGCAGCACUGGGGCCAUAUCCAUUUGUUAUUUGGUAUUCACCUUGUAAAACGAAGGUAAUGUUCAUUUCAAAGAUCGAUGGGUCAUUGUCAUCCCAACUCGAGCCUCCAGUAUAAUCUGCCGUCACUUCCGUCAGCGACUUUGCCUGAUCAUCCAUACUAUAUUAGAGAAAAUCACAUAAAUCAAUGUGAUUGUAUCCAAUUAAUAACCGGGGAAUAUGGGGACUCUAUCGAUUAUCUUUGAUCAGGAAUUUUGGAUGAUGGAAUGGAAAUGCUUUUGUAAUAAAACAGUUUCUUUCGAUUAAGAGUAAAGUAAUGUCGUUGCGGAUAUGACUGUUCCUUUCAUUUUAUGAGGCCUUGCCGUUGCAAAAAAUGUGUUUAUGGUUUAUAGAGGACGUAAGUUUACUCGUCGUAUUGCGUGGAGCGUCGCUGUUGUUUUUCAAGCAAACUAGGGGUGCUCAUCACGUCCUCUCAGCGUCAAGAAAGUGCGGAAAGCGCCCAUGUAAGACGUCACAGAACAGUAGAUCUCAACGCGAGUGCCAUGCGACGUCACAGAACAGUAGAUCUCAACACGAGUGCCAUGCCGCGUUUCAUACAAACACCAUUGGACUAAUGCAUGACAGUUUCUUAUUUUUAUCAAAGUCUACUUGGGUCUUGAUCUAAUAUUAACGUGAUGGGUGCAAUAAAUUAACAACAGAUAGCUUCGUCUAAUUUCUGCCGUGUAACUGGCAAUGCAGACAAGAACUUUCUAUGGUGCUGCGCUAUUCUGCACAACAACGUAGUCCUGCGAAAUUUGGACGGUCAGAGUGAAGAGAUUAUUGUCAACGAUUUGAUGACAAAUCACCACCGACAGACCGUCAAAUCGAAAACCACUCACUGUCAACCACUGUAUGGGUUAGAAUGAAAUAGUCGUGAAACCCUCUAUGACACCGAAGAUCAGUCAUGUACACCAUAAUACCAUAGUAACUGCAGAAGUCAUAGAAGCUGGAACAGGGGAAUUACCUGGAAACAUCCCAUUAGAUGCUUGAAAUCGAACNNNNNNNNNNNNNNNNNNNNNNNNNNNNNNNNNNNNNNNNNNNNNNNNNNNNNNNNNNNNNNNNNNNNNNNNNNNNNNNNNNNNNNNNNNNNNNNNNNNNUGAUAAUGUCGAAAGUCUCUGAGGCGCUCGGGUUACCAGAAACAGCGACAACCGUUGUUCCUUGGCCUUGCAAUCCCACAAAUUGCUUGUUGAAAACUCUGAGGUUGAAUUUUUUGUCGGAAAUCCUCCACAGCUGCACCAUAGGAAGUGAGCGAAAAUUAUGUUGGAUGGCAUGUGAAUCUUUUGAGCUUGUCUAAUGACGAUUGUCAAUUUGGUGAGACCGAAAGCCACACCCUGAAAGUUUCCCAGUCAGAGGGCUGAUCGCGAUUGGCGACAAGGGUGGCUCCGCCGCCGUUUUCAGCACACAGGAAUUUCCCGAGCUUUGUCGACUUGAACUGCACUUGAGUCCCAUCCUACCAUUGAAACAUAAGCAGGAAAAUGGGAUUUGGUUCAUCUCAUUGGAAGAGUGAAGUGAUAUUUUUAUAGACCAAACAAAUAACAGUGUAUAUGCACAUACUGGGUGGGGGGAACAGAGUUCAUAUAUACAGGUCGAACCAAGUUCAUAUUUGUAUGUCAGAAAUCUGGCAAAAUGAUGGAAAGAAAUGUUUCGUUAGAAACAAGUUCUGUUGACAUUUGGCAUCUUAAUUUGACAAAAGUUUACACCUCUCGUGUUAAAAUCAUGUGCUAGUACAUAUAGACAUAUGCCAAACAAGAUCGUUUUGUAACUGUAUCAUUCUCAAAUAUCUUAAACAUUAAACUGUAUCUAGUGCAGGCAUAUGUCAUAUUGGACCUGAGAAGAAACUUUGCGAUCAUCCAACAAUACUAAUCACGAAACUAUGAUAAAAAAGCAUGCUAGAGAAAGGAUAAUAACAAUCUAUGGAGCAUUACCCGAUAGCUCUUUUUCUCUUUAAAAGCUUACCAAGAGCUGUCCUUUGAGUCCAUCGAACCGAGAAGGCAUCAUCCACCCCUCGGUGACAAGCCAAUUUCCGAGGUUCACAGCCUUGAGGGGCAAGUUGAACUCCGCGGUCUGGGCGAGGAUCGAGGGAUAGAACACCCAAAGAGAACAAAGGAGCAGGAAUGAAUGGUGAUGACAGGGCGCCAUUUCUGGCUCGCUUCUUUGCUGUGACAUUAAACGAGAGGGAGGGCCAACACAUUUAUAGACUUUUACCUAAAAGUCUUAAGGGUUAGAAUAAUGGUUUUGUGUUGACCCAUAUGAAGUAGAAAUUUUAUGUACUUACCAAAUACCUCAUUUUACUCAAAAAAAUUUCCCCAAAAUAGAAAUAGAAAAAAAAACUAUUUCUGAAAAAAAAAAAAUUUAUCCAGUCAAAAAACGUUGUCAUGUGCAACCUAUUUUGCAAAAACUCACUCUACACGCUAAGAUGAAGAAUAUUGCAUUUGGUCUUAAGGCUAUGGAGAUUAGAUCAUUUGGACCGCUAAUGACAUGAGCUCCAAGAUGGAACUCGCAUGAUUAAUAUUUCAUAUGAUAUAUAGCCAGACGUUUUUUGUGACAUUCUGAAAAUUCAAUUCUGAUUUCGAUUGGAUAAGUUAGGCCUUUCAUCGACGCGCCUAUAACGUUUUUCUCUAAGUUUGCCACUCAUGAGAUAACUGACUUAUCAGGUGAAGUCAUUAAAGGAUUUUAAUGUAAUAGACUUGAGAAUUCAACUAGAAAUCAACUGCUCGACCGUGCUAGUCUGCAAGGGUUAUUAUGGCACAAUUAAAAAUCGAUCAAAGACCGAAGAUGGGUCAAUUCGACUGAGAUGUGUGAUUCAAGUGUGGGUGAUUCUACCUUAUUGCAAAAUUCUCGUCGAUCGGCACUAAACUGAUUUUCUGUCAUUUUGGGUACCUUAUGUCCAUAUUUGAAAUUUUGAGAUUUUCACGACCACAAAAAUUCGUCAAUGUGUCGAAGAGGUAUGUAUGGUUCGAAGAAAAUCAAUCAUGGGUCAAUUGCACAAAAAAUUUCUAAAUGCUACUCGGUAGGCUAGAUCACACUAAAACCGUGUCUGAUUGAAAUUAACAGCGAAUUUGAAUUCGAUUUCAGAAAUCGAAAGUUCUAACGUGUCAUGAGUCAUUCUAUGAACGUUGACUCACCUUUUGAGGAAUUUUUAGUGAGUUAGAGAUUUUUACGGAAAUCAAUUCAAACGAUUCGGAAAACGAACGGAAAUUUGAAUUAGCCAAUUUGAAUGGAUUUUUGACAUCUGGUGUGAGUGAAUUGGUGAAAGGAAAUUUCAUGGGCUUUUUCCACAUCAAAUCGGACAUCAAUCGGAGAAGUUCAUUCAUAAAUCGGAUUCCAAGAAAAAUGAAAUAGAAUUCGGAUUUGAGAGAAAUUCGUGAGAUAGAGGGGCUGUCUCAUUUUGGUCUUCAAUGGGACUUCAAAUUGUGCAAAUUGAUGUUAAAAUUGGCUUAGGAUGACCAAUUAUUCUUGUUGUGAAGCUGAGUAAAAAUAUAACUUGUUUUAUUUAACUUCUCCUCCCCCUCAUUGGUCCUUCUAUUUUUUUCCAUCCCUUUUGACAGCAAGAAGGACUUGCAUUCUGCUGCUCUAUCAAAUUUCUCAGGUAUUUACGUGCAAGUCUUGAUGACAGUAGGCACGUGGACAUUAUCUUCAAUGCGUUCUAGUUUGAGGGUCUCAAAUGAGAUGGGGGAAAGGAAACAUCCAAGCUGCAAAAUUCGGCACGGCCACAUGCUUCGCGCGGAUCUGCGCGGUUCCACGCCUUCUCUGUAGCUAGCAAAUAUGUCGGGGUUGUCCACNNNNNNNNNNNNNNNNNNNNNNNNNNNNNNNNNNNNNNNNNNNNNNNNNNNNNNNNNNNNNNNNNNNNNNNNNNNNNNNNNNNNNNNNNNNNNNNNNNNNUUGCCAGAGUUUUAGAAGCAAUGUAGUUACAUCAACGCCAUACCGAGUUUUCAUGCUGACAAUGUUUUCUAACCCGUGUCCUCCCAUUCAAUCAUGGAUUUGAAACUUUUCAGGCUAAAUUUGCAAAACUUCAAAAUGUUUAAGAUUAGAUGGACACAAAAAGAAAAAAAAAAGAUUUAUAACUAAAUUUGCACAAUUAAAAGAUUUAUAACCGAAUUGACCGCCCUAAAUAGAUUUAUGACUUUUUGGAUAAUUAAUUUUUUUUUUUGUAAUUUAAUGUAUGUAGAAGUAAGAGCUGCAUUUGUUUCACUUCUCUUUCGGCUUAGACACUAAUUUUUUUUUUUGACCAUAUUAUAUCUUGUGGAGUCCACCAAUUCUCGUGCAACUCUAUAAAAGUGAUUUCUUUUUUAUCUAGUCAUUUGUUUCUUGUUUUUCCUUAUGGGUCUCACUUUAUUUCUUCUUCUUUCUUUUCACACCUUUGACAUCUCAGUUUGUUAUUCACUUUUGCAAAUCGUCUCUCUCGCAAGCCAUUAUCUUCCUUCUACACCUCCCACUUCUUAUACUUCUUCUUCUCCCACAAAUAAGCAUUUGCAAUCCUUAAAAGAACUGCUUAUUUCAACAAUUUGUGCCCUCGUCAUUCGCUACCAAAAGUAUGGUCCUAGCGAAAGCCUCUUUUUUUCUUUUUUUUUUCCUUUUUGGUUCUCUUGAUCUCAAAUCAUGCUCUUUCCAAUCGCUAUUGAGUGUUUCUUGAUAUCUUUUCUUAAAAAGUGAAUUUUAGUUUUGGAUCGUAGAAAUGCUUGAUCAUGGGUUUCGAUCUUAUGAUUAGAGUGUAGCAUGCAUCAAAAUAGUGCUUGUGAAUUAACUGUGCAGUUACUUUAUGGUUUGUAGUGUAGUUGCAUCCUAUAGACCGUUGCUCCCUCUAGGUUAGUUUCUUACUAUGUUUCCAUAAGUUAUUUAUCAUUAGUUUUGGGUUGCUGUGUUACUUCUAAUUAAUUGAUAUGUUGGAAAUAAUGACACAAGAUAAUCGAGAGAUGAUUUGCAAAAUGAAAAGUGUAAGGAGAAAAAAGAAAAAUAAAAGAAAAAUAAAAAGCAUGAAAUAAAAAUAAAAACACUAUAAGGUUUAACAAAAAGUGACGGAUCCCAUAAAGGAUAAUAUGGUCAAAACAACAAAAGAAAGAGUGUCUAAACCAAAAGAUGAGUGUAAAAAGUGCCGCCCAAAACUAAACGUAGAUUUGUCCUUAGCAGCAAUACAUGGCAUUGGUUAAUUUGCCAAAAGAGCUAUUGAUCAAGUCUUGUUUGCAUAUAUCCAUUUAUAAUUUGAAGAAAUAAUUAGUUAGAAAAAAAAAAGAAAAAAAAACCCAGCAAAAUAAUGUGAAUACUCUUCAAACAAUCUUAGCAAAAGAAAAAAUACAUACACAUGUGCGCGCGUGAAUAGGACACUUGAUGAUCACCUCUUUCAAUUAUUAACCUAACGUACUAAACCCACAUGAAUCCUGGCCCCAUGCCCCGCCAUUUUCUCCCCCACCCAAUUUGUAAGGGGAAAAUACUUACCGUUUGGGUUGGGGCCCGCUGCACCCCUCGCCCAUUCAUAUGGGAAUCUUUACUUAACACCAUGGAUACACACCAAAAUAAAACAAACAAAAAGAUUUUGAUUCUCUAACUCUUUUGCAAAAUGCGAUGCUUGUCGUGAUCGAAGAGACGUCAAACAGAAUUAAUUUCUUGGAUCAAUUUCUCGUCAAUAAUCACCAUGAGAAGGCCAUCGUCAAUGACACCAUGCAUCAAUCAAAGAGAAUAUGAAGUCAGUAAAACUCUCGGUAUUCUCAAUUCUCAUUACGGGUCAAAGCUAACCUUAACAGCUAGCAUAUGAACUUAUGUCAUGUAAAUCAUAUUAAAAUGUCUUCAGAUUGGACAACGGUAAAGAGCAUUUCACAGCCACGUCUCAGACACAUUUUAUCGAACAAGUUUCGUGCGUUGUAUGAAAGAUAAAACUGAGCAUCAAUGAAUUCGGACUACAAUUACAUCCACCCAGAAACAGCCUGCGAUAUGUCUAAUCGUUAACAUAGACUCAGAAAAAGUUGAUUCGACCCUAAUCUGAAACACGCUAUCUCGGCUCUUCUCCUUCACCAGAAAAAAGCACAACAGGAUAAGAGGGUUGUGUGGAUUGAUGACAGAAGCUUCGAUCAUCAUUAAGGAUCGAAGUCGCGGCCAAGGAACAGAUCUCGAGCGAGACCUAGUCGCUUCACGACUUUAAGCCAUGAACCCGAGCAGAACGGGGCGAGUUCUGUGUUACGUCAAAGGUCGGAACUGGUGAAGGAGGGAUGGGUAGGAGCAGAGCCCUUCAGAGUACUCUGGUCAAGAAAACAAGGGCGAACAGAAGCCUUGGUGCGAUUGCGGGAGGAGUGGGGUGACCAGCAGUGAAGAGCAGCGACGGCCGCGCGUCGUGAGGAAGAAGACCAACGGUGAGCGGGGUCGAGAAAGAGAGACGAAAGGGAGAAGAGGAUGGGAUUGGACGUGGGCUAGAGAAGAGACAGGCCGAGCGGGGUUGCUAGGUCGCGGGCUGGGCCCAAGCGGGCUGCUAAGGCUGUGCAUGGUAACCUUCCUCAGCCCAAAAAUUUCUAUUCUUCUCUUCCCCGGAACAAAAAAAGAAUAGAAACCUGUUUGAUAACGGCAAUUUAGUUUUUUGUUCCCGGGAACAAAAAGUUAGCCCGGGAAUGGUUUUGGAAUAGAAAUGAGAAGUAAAAAAAAGUUGCUUCUUGUUCCCGGGAACAAGUUUAAGAAAUAAGUGAAUUUUUUUUUUCUUUUAUUCUUCUCUUGCUAACCGCCAUUGACCGCCGUUGACUGCCGCCCGCCGCCGCCGCCGGCCGACCGCUGCCGCCGCCUGUCGCCGGAGGCCGACCGACCGUCGCCGCCAGUCGCCGCCGGCCGACCGACCGCCGCUGCCGGCCGACCGACCGCCGCCGCUGCCGCCGGUUGCCGGAGGCCGACCGACUGUCGCCGCCGCCGGCCGACCGUCACCGCCGCCGGUGGCCGGUGGCCGACCGUUGCUGCCGCCAUCGCCGGAGGCCGAUCGACCGCCGCCACCACCAGCCGUCGCCGGUCGCCACCGAUCGGCGACGUGCGGCAGCAGCGGCGUCCGGCGGUGGCGGCGGUCUACCGGCAAAAAAAAUAAAUAAAUAAAUAUAAAAAAGAAACUGUUUUUUACCAAACGCAUUUCUAUUCUUUUUCUAUUUUUAGAGUAAAAAUUUUGUGUAGUUACCAAACGGGUUUUUUUACAUAUAAAUUCUUCCCCAUAAUAGAAAUAGAAAAGAACUAUUUCUGAAAAGAAAUUGUUCCCCGGCCAAUAAAUGUUACCAUGCACAGCCUAACCAGCCCGAUUCAAUUUUUCUUUUCUUUUCUUUUCUUUUUCCUUUUUUAACAAGGAGAUAUGGUUCGCCGGACCAGCAAAAUUAAGUUUCAACAAUUACCCACUACUUUCUCUUCAUCAAGUGACCACUUAAUUCAUAUGCUUAUAAUAACUAUUUGUCACAUAUCAGCUCAAUUAAAUAAUCACUCAAUUCCUAAAACGACCGGGUCUUUUCUCUAUGAAGGUGAAAAGAAGUAGCCUAUAUUAAAUAAUCACUCAAUUCCCAAGGGCACCGACGAUCACGCACAUACGUCGUGUGUGCCUCAACAUUGGCCUAUAUAUUAAACCAAAAGCGAGAUUUGCUUUUUCAUGGUUUAAUAUUAUCCCUUGAACAAAGAAAAGAAAUAAGUUCCCACAAGAAACAAGUAUAAAAUUUUAAAUUGGAAGUUAAUAUCUUUAGAAUUGAAUUCUAUUCACUAAAAAAAUUGGAGAACUCGAUGGGUACCUAUGAACUCACAAAGGAUGCCCUUGCCAUGGCUUCGUGCAACAAAGAAGAGAACCCACCAUAUCUCGGUUUUGUUCCCAUAAUUAGAUCAAAUAGGCCUGUAAGAUUGACAUUCAUUAUUUGUUUUCUACUUAAUUUGAAUCUUGCGAUUUUUGCACAUUUCGCUUUUUUCCUUAUAAAUCCGAAACAUUCGAAACCCUCAUAGCAUGUGCAUUUUAACAUGUACAUAUAAUUCUUCCUUGGUUGAAUGCAUAAAGGAUGAUGAAGGAGUUUUUAGAGCAUCCAUUCUAGAUGGGAAUUGUCAAAUUAGUGCUAGAAAGUUGAACUUUAUUAAUUGUUUUUACUUUCAAUAUUAUAUCAAGGAUGUAAUAGGACUUUUCUACAUAUCUAAGAUAUGGAAGUCUUCUCCGCUUUUCUUGAAAGGCAUAUUGGUAAAGUUUAUGGUGGCAAUUUUCAUUUCAUAGAUAUGCGUAACUCUUGUAACCACCAUUUGGUAUACAACUUUGAAUAAUUCAUAACAUUGUCGGACUAUGACGGCAAGUUUCACUAUAUAGAAAAUACAGGGACUUGUAGAAUUCCAUAUUUUUUGGUCGAGCACAACGCCUCUAAGAUAGCGGUGCACUUAAUUAGAAUUGUUAAGAAGUCAAAGUCUUCAUCAAAUGUCGUUGUUGGGGUCAAAGUCUUUGGUGAGAUUUAUUUGGGUGUGGAAAAUUCUUAGUGCCAUAGAAUUUCCUCCUUGGCUAAAUGCAAAAAGGAUGGUGGAAGAGUUUUCAGGGCGUCCAUUUUAGAUGGGUAUUGACAAAUUAGUGCUAUAAUGUAUUAAUUAUUUUCACUUGGAAUAUCAUAUCUAGCAUGAAAUAUGAUUUUUCUACAUAUACACGAUGCGGAAGCCUUCUCCACUUUUUUUGAAUGACGAGUUAGUCAAGUCUAUGGUGGAAAUUCUCAUUUCAUAGAAACACGUGGCUCUGGUUACUACCGUCUGGUAGACGAAAUUGAAUUACUCGUAAUGAAGAAAACGAUCAUUUAUGAACAUUUUCCAGUAAAAUAAUCUUGAAUCUCUAAUACCCCUGUUUACUAUUGUAGGUACAAGUCCAAAAUCUACUAUUCAUUAUUUGUUUUCUACUUAAUUUGAAUCUUGCGAUUUCUACACAUUUCGUUUUUUCCUUUUAAAUCCCAAACAUUCGAAACCCUCAUAAUGUGUGCAUAUUAACAUGCACAUACAACUCUUCCUUGGCCAAACGCAUAAAGGACGGUGGAUGAGUUUUCAAAGCAUCCAUUCUAGAUUAGCAUUAUCAAAUUAGUGCUAGAAUGUUGAAUUUUAUUAGCAAUAUCAUAUCAAGCAUGGAAUAUGAUUUUUUUUCAUAUCCAAGAUAUGGAAGCCUUCUUCGCUUUUCUCGAAAGGCAUAUUGGUCAAGUUUAUGGUGGCAACUUUCAUUUCAUAGACAUGCGUGACUCUGGUAAUCAUUGUUCGGCAUACAACUUUGAAUAAUUCAUAACAUUGCGUGACUAUGAUGACAAUUUUCAUUAUAUAGAAAAUACAGGGACUUGUAGAAUUCCAUGUUUUUUGGUAGCGCACAGCGCCUCUAAGAUAGCGGUGCACUUAAUUAGAAUCAUUAAGAAGUCAAAGUCUUUAUCAAAUGUCCUUGUUGGGGUCAAAGUUCUUGGUGGGGUUUACUUGGGGGGAAAUUUUCAAAUAAGGACCCAAAGUGUCAUCUUUUUUCUCAAAAGAAGACUUAAAGUGAAGUUUGUCUCAAAUAAGGACCCAAAGCGCCAUCAUUUUCUCAAAAGAGGACCUGAAGUGAAGUUUGUCUCAAAGAAAGACCUAAAGUAGUCAUUUAGUCUCAAAGAAAGACCUAAAGUAGUCAUUUAGUCUCAAAGGAGGACCUCACUCACCGGCCAGUGAAUAGAUGCAUCUUCGAUGUAUAUCCCGGUGGCCUAAUUAUGAUAUUUUCGUCCAAUUUUUUUUUUUUUCAUUUUUGGUUGCCCUGUUCAUUGUUUUCUUCAUCUGAUGUUCACUUCUUCUUGCCCAGACCAAGAACACCAGACUUGGGGAAAGGUUAGCGAGCACCGGCCAAUGGUAAGGGCCGGCGAGGGCUCGACGCCUAUCACCGGCAGUGAGCAAGGGCUCGACACCCAUCGCUGACAGCGGGUGAGGGCCAUCGAGCCCUUGCUGGCCAUGGGGGAGGGGGCCGUCCAAAUCGAGGCCCUGCAAGAAGGUCCUCAAGGGCAAAAGGGGUAGCCGAAGAAAUCGUUGAUCUAGGAGCGGUGGUGGGAUGAAGGGAUGAAAAAAGCGAUACGGGCAUCCCAGUCGUAGUCCUAGCAAAAGACGAGGUUGUUAGUGGAGUAGCGGGCGAAGGUGAGGGAGGUCCCCCCUCACGGCCAUCAGCGAGGUCACCCCUCGCCAGCCUUGGGCAAGGGCUCGCCCACCUCACUGGCCACUGAUAAGGGCCGACGAGGGCCUACAAGCCCUCGUCUGUAGCUAGCAAGGGCUCAACAGCCCUCACUGACCGCAGCCAAGGCCACCCUCGCCAGAUCUGACGAGGGUCGACCUGCAAGCCCUUUCCCACGACCGGCGAGGGCUUGGUGGCCCUCACCUACUGCCGACGAUGGGCGUCCAACCCUUGCCAGCCCUCACCAACGGCCAGUGCUCACUGGUCCUUCCCAAGUCCGAUGUUCUUGAGAAGAAAAUGAUAAAUAGUGCCACCAUUGACCCAAAAAAUAAUAAUAAAGAACAAGACAACUGAAAUUUUUUUUAAAAAAAGGACAAAAAUACCCUUGAUCAGGCUACCGAAAUAUGCAUCGGGGAUGUAUCUAUUCACCGGCCGGCAAAUGAGGUCAUUCUUUGAGACUAAAUAAUCACUUUAGGUCCUUAUUUGAGACGGACUCCACUCCAAGUCCUAUUUUGAGAAAAUGAAGGUACUUUGGGUCCUUAUUUGAGAUAAAUUUCACUUUAGGUUCUCUUUUGAGAAAAUAAUGGCACUUUGGAUUCUUAUUUGAAAUUUUCCCUUUACUUGGGUGUGGAAAAUACUUAGUGCCAUAGAAUUUCUUCCUUGGCUAAAUGCUAAAAGGACAGUGGAAGAGUUUUCAAGGCAUCCAUUAUAGUUGGGCAUUGACAAAUUAAUACUAGAAUGUUGAACUUUAUUAAUUAUUUUAACUUGAACUAUCAUAUCUAGCAUAAAAUAGGAUUUUUCUACUUGUACAUGAAGCGGAAGCCUUCUCCACUUUUUUUGAAUGACGAGUUAGUAAAGUCUAUGGCGGCAAUUCUCAUUUCAUAGAAACGCGUGGCUUUGGUUACUACCGUCUGGUAGAUGAAAUUGAAUAAUCUAUAAUGAAGAAAAUAAUCAUUUAUGAACAUUUUCUGGUAAAAUAACAUUGAAUCUCUAAUACCCCCAUUUACUAUUAUAGACAGGUGAGAUGAUAGGUACAAGUCCAAGAUCUACUAUUCAUUAUUUGUUUUUUACUUAAUUUGAAUCUUGCGAUUUCUGCACAUUUCAUUUUUUCCUUUUAAAUUUGAAACAUUCGAAACCCUCAAAAUGUGUGCAUAUUAAUAUGUACAUACAACUCUUCCUUGGCUAAACGCAUAAAGGACAAUGGAGGAGUUUUCAGAGCAUCCAUUCUAGAUGAGCAUUGUCAAAUUAGUGCUAGAAAAGUUGAACUUUAUUAACUGUUUUUACUUGCAAUAUCAUAUCAAGCAUGGAAUAUGAUUUUUCUACAUAUCCAAGAUAUGUAAGCCUUCUCCGCUUUCUUGAAAGGCAUAUUGGUCAAGUUUAUGAUGGCAAUUUUUAUUUUAUAGAUAUGCGUGACUCUAGUGAUCACCGUUCGGUAUACAACUUUGAAUAAUUCAUAAUAUUGCAUGACUAUGGUGGCUAUUAUCAUUAUAUAGAAAAUAGAGGGACUUGUGGAAUUCCAUGUUUUUUGGUUGAGCACAACGCCUCUAAGAUAGCAGUGCACUUAAUUAGAAUCGUUAUUCGGGUCAAAGUCUUUGGUGGGGUUUAUUUGGAUGUGGACAAUUUUUAGUGCCAUAGAAUUUCUUCCUUGGCUAAAUGCUAAAAGGACAGUGGAAGAGUUUUCAGGGCAUCUAUUCUAGAUGGGCAUUGACAAAUUAGUGCUAGAAUAUUGAACUUUAUUAAUUGUUUUAACUUGAAAUAUCUUAUCUAGCAUGGAAUAGGAUUCUUCUACAUGUACACGAUGCGGAAGCCUUCUCCACCUUUUUUGAAUGACAAGUAAGUCAAGUCUAUGGCGGCAAUUCUCAUUUCGUAGAAAUGCAUGGCUCUAGUUACUACCGUUUGGUAGACGAAAUUAAAUAAUCCGUAAUGAAGAAAAUAAUCAUUUAUGAACAUUUUCCGGCAAAAAAACCUUGAAUCUCUAAUACCCUUAUUUAUUAUUGUAGACAAUUGAGAUGAUAGGGACAAGUCCAAGAUCUACUAUUCAUUAUUUGUUUUCUACUUAACUUGAAUAUUGCGAUUUCUACACAUUUCUUUUUUUCCUUUUAAAUCCGAAACAUUUGAAACCCUCAUAAUGUGUGUAUAUUAACAUGUACAUACAACUCUUCCUUGGCUGAAUGAAUAAAGGAUGGUGGAGGAGAUUUCAGAGCAUCCAUUUUAGAUGGGCAUUGUCAAAUUAGUGCUAGAAAGUUGAACUUUAUUAAUUGUUUUUAUUUGCAAUAUCAUAUCAAGCAUGAAAUAAGAUUUUCUACAUAUCCAAGAUAUAAAAGCCUUCUCCGCUUUUCUUGAAAGGCAUAUUCGUCAAGUUUAUGGUGGCAAUUUUCAUUUCAUAGAUAUGUGUGACUGGUAAUCACUUUUCGGUAUACAACUUUGAAUAAUUCAUAACAUUGCGUGAAUAUGAUGACAAUUUUCAUCAUAUAAAAAAUAGAGACUUGUAGAAUUCCAUGUUUUUUGGUCGAGCGCAAUGCCUCUAAGAUAGCAAUGCACUUAAUUAGAAUCGUUAAGAAGUCAAAGUCUUCAUCAAAUUGUUGGGGUUUAAUUGGGUGUUGAAAAUUCUUAGUGCCAUAAAAUUUCUUCCCUGGCUAAAUGCAAAAGGAACAGUGGAAAAGAUUUCAGGACAUCCAUUCUAGAUGGGCAUUGACAAAUUAGUGCUAGAAUGUUGAACUUUAUUAAUUGUUUUUACUUGAAAUAUCAUAUCUAGCAUGAAAUCAGAUUUUCUACAUGUACACGAUGUGGAAGCCUUCCCCACUUUCUUUGAAUGACAAGAUAGUCAAGUUUAUUGUGGCAAUUCUCAUUUCAUAGAAAUGCGUGGCUCUAGUUACUACCGUCUGGUAGACGAAAUUGAAUAAUCAGUAAUGAAGAAAAUAGUCAUUUAUGAACAUUUUCCAGUAAAAUAGCCUCGAACCUCCAAUACCCCUAUUUACUAUUGUAGACAAGUGAGAUGAUAGGUACAAGUCCAAGAUCUUCAGCCGCAAGUAAAAGAUGCAAUCUCUUAAUGACAUUUCAAGCCGACGACUUUUCCAUUCCUUGAUCUACAUGGCGCACAAUUAAAUUGGGCAUCUUCUCAACAAUUUCAUGGUCCAUGAAAUCUUAUGCCUUCUGCUUUGGCUUCUUCAUCCAUUUGACUUCCAUUUUCUCCAUCUUUCUCAUAGUUCUCACAAGCUAUUCAAGUCUUCUAGUUUCACAUGAAAUGGAUGCUAUGGAGAUUCUAAUUACAAUUCUCAAUUAAGAUAAACUGAUUAAAUAUCUUUUAAGUUUGAUAAAAUGCUUGUCAAGUAUGUUACAGUUAUAAAAACUAACAACACAAGUGAUGAUAUUGAGGUUCCAUUACAAGGGUGUCCUCGAUUACUUACAAUCCUGCAUCUUUGUUCGUACUUUCAUAUGCUGUGUAAAAAAAAAAUUCCUCAUAAACUUCAUUCAGAGUAUCGGAAAGGAUGAUGGACAUGAGUGUUGCAGAGGUCGAAAGAGAUCGAGAAUCUCGAUCAGUUUCAGUAACCAUCCAAGGAUGAAAUUGUUCGCAAGGUUCUGUCCAUUGGAAUGAAGUCGUGCAUGAUAAAAUUAUUUAGAAAUGGGUCUGGUCUCAUGGUUCCAGUACACAAAGCGUGGGCCAAAGAUACGAUUGGGCCUACGAAAGCAAGCCCAACCCAAAUACAUUAAGUCGACUCAUAAAAUUGAGGACCAGGCCCAACUCACUUAGACUAAAUCAAGCCCAAAAUUACCAAACACGCUCAAGCCCACCUAUUCAAAGCCCAUUCGAAGGGGAACAAAAAAAUGGAAACGACGAGCUUUAAACAAAGCCAGCAACAUUCAUACGUGACGCUACGGAAAAUCCAAGAGAUCGAGAGCAUUGGACUUAGCUUUAAUGGUCAAUGUCCUCAACGCGAACGUGAGCUCUCGAGACGAUGCAGCGACGGCAACAACAGCGUCCGAAACAACUGCUCAUUCCCGCAUUCAGCUGCAACCAUGGCGAUGAUCUGGAUCGCCAAAUCCGACUCGCAAUUUGACUCGACUCAGCUUCCCGGUCAUGCUCCUAAAGGUUCACGAUAGGGCUUGCUUAAAAAUUGAAAGGACAAGUCCACCAAGUCCGAGCACGGGUGUAAAAGUGAAACCUCUCUCGGACAAUAUGUCAAACAGAACGUGCGUCACUCAAAAUCGCCGUUUCAUCUCAACUCUCCCAUCAAGCCAAAAGAAUCAGUGAACUCACCACCCUCACUUGAACCUUGAAAUCAUGUACAAUCUCGAAGGAGAUGAUAUGGCUCCAAGCUAAGCCUCGCGUGGAGAGCGGAGGGAGGACAGCAGAGAGAGAUUCCGCUCGGCUUCAUUUUCUGAAGACUUGGACCAAACUUCAUCCGAACGAGAGAAAACCAGAAACCGAAGAGACAGUUUCGUGACUAAAAGCUCAGAAAGGUCGUGUUGAUCCCUUCCGACGAGGCGAAAUCUGCGAUUGGACAAACUACGGCCAGCGACAUAGAGGUGGAAUAGAAUGGAGGUGAUUUAGAGUUGAGGCGAGCGCCGGUGAGCUGGAGGUAAGCUUCCGGUGAUGAACUGAGUGGCGACGUCAAACCAGAGGAAGAAGUUGCGGUGGCCGACAACCCUAUUGCAGGAGGAGAAUUGAGAACCGAGAAAGGAAUUCUCGCCUGCCGUCGCUGUGAGCGAGAAGUGACGGCACAAGCGAGGAGGAGUGAUGAUCGAGCGACCGAUUACGAACGACUGUGCUGAGGGAAGAGCUGCCGGUGGCCGCAAGUCGAUGAGAGCCACGAGCAGGAGAGAAUAAGAGCCCCCAAGAGCGAAUUCUCCUCUCUUCCCUAAACGCGUGUGCGCGUUUUCCCUUCGGGAAAAUAAAAUUGAGCAUCAACGAACUCGGAUCACAUCCACCCAAAAACAGUCCGGGAUACGUCUAAUCGUUAACAUAAACUCGGAAAAAGUUGAGUCGAUCUUAAUCCAAAACAUGCUAUUUCAUUUCGGCUAUUCUCCUUCAUCAGAAAAAAAAAGUAUAACAGGGUAAGAGCGUUGCAUUGUUAAUGGACAGAAAUGAAGCUGCGACUAGCAACUGUAUCAACGACGGAAGCUCCGAUCGUCGUUAAGGAUCAGAGUCACGGCCAACGAACAUAUCUUAAGCGAGACCUAGUCGCUUCAGAACCUUAGGCCAUGAAUCCGAGCAGAAGGGAGCAAGUUCAAUGUCACGUCGAAGGUCGGAACUGGUGAAGGUGGAUGGAUAGGAGACGAGCUCUUCAGAGUACUCUGGUCAAGAAAACAGGGGCGAAUAGAAGCCUUGGUGCGAUUGCAGGAGAAGUGGGAUGACGAGCAGUGAAGAGCGGCGACGGCUGUGUCCUGAGGCGGAAGACCAACGGAGCGGGGCGAGAAAGAGAGAAGAAAGGGAGGAGAAGCCGGGUCGGACGCACACUAGAGAGACAGGCCGAGCAGGUGCAGGGUCGCGGCUGGGCCCAAGAGGGCUGGGUCAAACCGGCCUGAUUCAAUUUUUUCUUUUCUUUUUUCAAGUAAAGAUGGUUCGCCAAACCGGCAAAAACUAGCAAAAUUAGGUUUCGACAACUACCUGCUACUUUCUUUUCAUCAAGUGACCACUCAAUUCACACAUCUAUAAUAACUAUUCAUCACAUAUCAACUUAAUUAAGUAAUCACUCAAUUCUUGAAAAAACUUAUUCUUUUCUCUACAAAGGUAAAAAGAAGUAGCCUACGCAAUUCCUAAAGACACCGGCGAUCACAAGCACUUGUUGUGUGUACCUCGACCUGGCCUAUAUAACAAACCAAAAGCGAAUCAUGUCUCACUUUUCUUAUGGUUUCCAUAUUAUCCCUUGAAAAAAGGAAAGAAAUAAGUUCCAACAAGAAGCAAGGAUAAAUUAGAUCUUACUUUGUUCACUUGGAUGAGACUAUACUUAAAUGAUAAAAAGGCCAUAAUAAUAAACAUGUAAUCGGUCCCAUGACACCUCAACAGAUUUACUCAUCAUAUAACAAUGCAAAGAAUGAAUAGUCGAGAUUCUCAUUUUUUAUAAGAUCUACAAGCGUUUCUCAUCCACUUCUUUCUCAUAUUAGCUCAUUUUCUUUCAAGCAACCCUGCGAGCCAUUCAAAAUUUCUAGAUCCGAGAACAAUGUAUCCUAAAGAGACUCUAGCUACGGUUCCACAUCCAUAACCCAUCAAUAUGGAUGUCCACUCAAACCAGCCUUCGUGCCUUGUAUCAUUUUCUUGAAGAAUGGUUACUGGUGGAAUUUCUCGUGGACUGUUUGUGCAUGUCUUUGGCAAUGGAAAUCUGUAUAGUCUAGGAUUCUUGGAAAAUGAGCCGCUCUUGAAUGUGUUGAAUUGCCUUCCUUGAGGAAUAGGUCCGAUGAGCUUUUUCUCUGAGAGGUUCAAGAAUGCAAGAUACGUCAAAUCCGCUAGUUCUUGAGGAAUCCUUCCAAUGAACUUGUUUGAAGAGAGGUCUAGUCAUUCAAGUUCCGUCAAAUUGCCAGUAGACAAAGGGAUAUAGCCUAUGAGAUUGUUGUGGAAAAAGUUUAGCCCUUUGAGCGACUUUAGGUUUCCAAUAUCCAUGGGAAGCUCCCCAACAAAAUGGUUGCUCGAUAAGUCGAUACUUGUGAAAACAGUUAGAAUUUUCACCAACCAUAUCUCCAGUCGUUUCAUGGUCACCAUGAUUGAAUUUUGAUAAUUAUCAUCUCCCAUAUAUUGCAGCUUGCCUCGUCUUUUAUCCUAAUUCAUCAUGGCAGUAAGCUUCAUAAUAUAUCUAAUGGGUAAAGCACCUCUCAGAUUGUUGUUGGACAGGUCGAAGAUGUGCAAUUCAGAAAGCGAGCUUCUCUAGGACUACUUAUGAAGCCAUGGAACAUGUUGGACCUCAAAACAAGAACCCGUAGCUUGAGAAGGGUUCCCAACCACUCGGGGAAUGUAUCCUCGAUUCUAUUGUUGCCAAGAUCCAAAACUUCCAAAUUUUCACAACGUAGCAAGAAUCGUGGCAAUGUCCCUUCAAAUCAAUUCUGACUAAAGUCAAUAGUCCUUAAGUUGCUGUCUUCAGCAAAUUUUCUAGGGAUCACACCGUGAAUCAUGUUCAUGCGGAGGUUAAGGAUCGAGAGAUUUUUUAUAAGGUUCAUCAAGCACUCUGGCAAGGUGCCCAUCAAACUAUUAUUGGACAAGUCAAGGACUCUGAGCUUAGUGGCAUUGCAUAUCAAAGGGGAAACCUUUCCACCAAUCUUGUUGUUUGCACUAAAAUAGAAUCGAGUGGUGGGUGGUGGAAUUGGAAGAGAACCUUCAAAUCUGUUGUUGGAUAGAUCAAGCGUCACCAGAUUCAAUCGAUGGAGAAAAUAUUCUUCAAGCCAUUGACCCCCUAAAUUAUUAUUAGAUAUGGAAAAAUAAUAAAGCAUGGAGGGAACAAAUGGAGCAAAUAAAGGAUCGAUUUGACCAUGGAAUUCAUUGAACUGAAGAGCGAUGAACUGUAAUGAGGGGGCUUCUAGCAACCACUUCAGAAAAGGACAUGUGGACUCCUGGAGUGCCACAACUUUGCACAAAGGGACAUUUAAGUGCCAUAACUUACGAAAGGUACACUUAAGUGCCAAAAUCGGAGCAAAAUUGAUUACUUGAGUGUCAAUCCGGCCAAAUUGCUUACGUGGCAUUUUUCGGCGAUUUCUGGCGACUUCUUUUACUGAUGUGGCAAAUGUUUUUUUUUUAUAAAAAAAAAAAAAAAGCCAACAUGGACAACAAAAACGACAUCGUCCAUCCACAUUGAGUGCGCUGACCUGAACGACAUCGUUAGGUCAUUGUGCACUGACCUAAACGUCGUUCCUCCCCGUCUGCGUUCACAAUAGAUCUCAGGCCCUUCUCUCCGUCGUCGUUCAUGCCCAGAGCUGGUCAUCGGUCGCCGUCGUUAGUCGCCAUUGUUGGUCGCCGUCGCCGCUCACCGCUCACCAUUGUUGGUCAUCAUCACCACUCACCAUCGUCACUUGUCCAAGUUCGACCCUUUCUCCCCCUCCCUUGUAAUGAAAUUAAGGCUUGAUUAUUUAAUUAGGGCUCGCUCGAUUAUUUUAUUAGGGCUUGAUUAUUUUAUUACAGCUUCAAUGGAAUUUGUGUUGAUACACUUCAACUGAAACUUGCUGACAUCACACAUAGAGACCAGAUUUCUCAUUAUUUUCAUGAAUUUUUCUUUCAAGUCAAUGUCAGAGUAUGCUUUGAUUGUUGAGUCACUAGCUAUGUAUCUCUUUAAGAGCAUCCUAAUAAAGCAGGUGACUAAUGCAUCUCCGAGAAGAAAAUUAAGUCCUUGAACCACCCUGCUUGUGAGGCUGUAUAGGGUAUGUCCUUGAACCACCCUGCUUGUGAAGCUGUCUAGGGUAUGUUUAUCAAUCCAAAAUCCUGAAUGAGAACAUAACAACUGUAGGUAGAAUUUUAUUGGUAAAGUUACAAACUAAGAAAAAGUUUCAAGCAUGAAGAAUAAGAACUUGAAAGGGUAUUAAAGCAUGUUUUUGUGAAGCUAUUUCCUGGAAUUGGCUCUGCAGCUUGCGUCAGUCUUCUUUGAGAAAGGUAUUGCCUGCUUGUCCAAAUUUGUUAUGGGUUAGGAUAGUCUAAGACUUUGGAGUGAUUUGUCUGUGCUUCAUUUUCUCUUUGUUUUUCUUUAACUUUAGCGACAUAAAAUGCUUCCAAGUUUAGUUGUUCUAAUUUUAGUUUAAAAUUCUAAAGGAAUUUGUAGGAGUCAGCGGCUGUGAUUUGAUUAAGUUGAUGUCAGAGUAUGCUUUGAUUUGCUUAAGUUGAUGUACAUUCUCUCACAUUGCAAGUUUAGUGCAGUAGACAAAAUUGCUUGGGCUGUGAUUGUUGUGAGGACCUGCACUUAUUGUGGGGACCUCUGUUUUUUGUUAAUAUUUUAAAGGAAGGGAAGUUAAAUAAUUAAAGUUCCGACCUCUUUUUUGGCUGUCAUGUAGGGGCAUAUUGUUAGUGUGGGGACCUCUAUUUACUAAAGUCCAUGAGAGUGGGGGGACUCCCAUGUGCAAUUGUUUAGUGGUCCCAAAAACUAAUGAUUAUUUUUCUUGUUCUUGGUGCAGGAAUGGCUCAUGACAGGGAUUAUGUUGCCGUCAUAGUUUGCUACGAUGGGGAAUUUGUGAUUAGGGAGGAUGAGUGGGAGUAUGAGGGUGGAAAUGAGGGCACUAUCUUUGUGGAUAUAAAGAAUGCAUCUUAUAUAGGAUUUCUUAGGAAUAUAAAGACUUAUUUGCCUUGUAAAGUUUAGAAGUUGAUGUAUUGUAUUUCUGGGAAAGACUUAAGAGAUGGUUUGAGAUGCUUAAAAGAUGAUAAUGGUCUUAGGGAUGUUCUAUACUAUUAUCUUCAUGGUGAAGAGGUAAAAAUAUUUGUUGAGUACAAUAGUAAAAGUGAGGAUGAAGAUGAUGAUGGAGAGAGCACCGCAGUAGCACAAAAAGGAGAUGGUAUUCAAGCUUGAGAUCGAUGAGCUCGAGAUUCAUCUAGCAACUAGCCAAAAAAGAAGAAGAUGGGAAACAAAGAAAAGAAAAUGAAAAAAAAUGAAAAACUGAAAAGAAAAUGAAAAGAAAUAGAAAAGGAAAAAGAAAUUAAAAAUAAUUUGAAUUAAAAUAGAAAAAGAAAAUUAAAAUAUAAUUCGAAUAAAAAAAGAAAAGAAAAAGAAGAAAGGGGAAAAGGAAGCGAGGAUUUGUAGAAGUGUGAAAUAAAAUAAAUUAAGUGAGGAAAAUAUUUUCCACUUUUCAAAAAUGGGAAAUAUUUUCCCCUAAUUUAUAAAACUUUUUUCCUUUCAUAGAAAACAUUUUCCCUAAGAAAUUCAUUUUCUGUGAAACGAACGCUAGAAAAUCCAAAAAACGUUUUUUCGAAAAUUAUAUUUCACGAAACGAACAAAGCCUAAGAUAAAUAAUAUUACAUUUGGUCUUAAGACUAUGGAGAUUAAACAAUCCGCUGUCCUUUUAAUAUUGCAGCAGGACGCAUUAUAUGGUUAAAGAUAGAAUAUGCGCAUUAAGAUAAAAAAAAUAUUGCAUUUGGUCUUCUUUGCUGUGACAUUAAACGGUCCACUGUCCUUUUAAUAUCGCAUCUGGAUGCAUCAUAUGUUUAAGACAGAAUAUGCACUGUUGCCCUUUCCUCUUGUAAGGAACCAACGAAACUUGUUAAAAACGCUAAUGCUCCGAGGCCGGCUGAAAUGGAUCCAUGGUAUUCGACCAUUCCCCUUGGUCAAAGGCAUCAUUCCGUGCGAUGGGGGAUGUACGGUCGGUGCGUGAGUGCCGAUGCAUGGAGCCAACAGCCUUCCGUUUUGUUCUUGUCUUUGCUUGGAGGAUCGUUUUGUGGUUAGUGAUUUCUCAAAAGAGAACAGAAAAUCUGGGAAGAAUUGCUUUUCCGAAGUCAAAAGUAGCGUGAGGACAAAAGGAACAGGCACCUACCCCAAGCGACCAGAUUCCAAGGGUUUUGGGAAAUAGGCGAGGAUUUGACAGAGCACUUGGAAGGGGAGAAAAGGAACCGGUACCCCAUACUCGCUAGUGUCGUGUGCCCAUAUGGGAUACCUAGGGUACUAGGUCCCAUUCCAAUCAGGACCGACGAUUCAUGUUUUUACACUGCGCUCGCGUCGAUUACUAUGUCAUUACAAUAAUAUUUUGGCACAACCGCAAGAUGUUAUUUUGGCGAACGUAUCAAUUCGUUUGAGUUUCGAAUUAGGUCUACUUUAUCGAGUUUUAAUUUUACUCUAUAAAUUCAUGCCAUGGUCAUAUUGUGUUCUUGCGUCGCAUCGAGGAUUACCACCUUGGUUGCACGUCGGAUUUUUUUCUUCUUUUUUUUUUUCUUGCACGUCAGAUUUUAACACAUUAAAUUUUGUUGCGGAAUAAUGCACCGAAAAUCCUAAAUCCAAAUCAUUCUAAUUUAGUCUAAUAUCACAAAAAAUCCCAAAGUGACUUUACUAUAUGUAACAUCCCGGGCCCCAUUGUGUAAUAUUGUCCGCUUUGGGUCACCCGCCCUAGCGCGGACAAACCACCAUCCCAGCCACGGUCUUUUUCCUCACGGCUUUAAAACACGUUAUACAGGAUAGAGGGACCCAAGCCUUAUAAGCUAACCAAGACCUCCCUCCCUAAGCAAUGUGGGACAAGAGAAGAGGCUGUCACACUCUCCACCUCUUAAUAGAACAGCGUCCCCACGGGCGUCAGAACAGCUCAGAACAGCAUUCGAGAGCUGUGGUCCCACACGCGGUUUGGCCCCACGGGCGUCAGAAUAGCUCAGAACAUCAUUCGAGCUGUGGUCCCACACGCAAUCGGGAGUCGGCUCCGAUAUCACUUGUAACAUCCCGGGCUCAGAACAGCAUUCGAGAGCUGUGGUCCCACGCGCGGUCUGGCCCCACGGGCGUCAGAAUAACUCAGAACAUCAUUCGAGCUGUGGUCCCACACGCGGUCGGGAGUCGGUUUUGAUACCACUUGUAACAUCCCGGGCCCCACUGUGUAAUAUUGUUCGCUUUGGGUCACCCGCCCUGACGCGGACGAAUCGCCAUCCCAGCCACAGUCUUUUCCCUCACAGCUUUAAAAUGUGUUACACAGGUUAGAGGGACCCAAGCCUUAUAAGUUAACCAAGACCUCCCUCCCUAAGCGAUGUGGGACAAGAGAGGAGACUGUCACACUAUAAACUAAUUUUGUGACCAAUUAAUACACCUGCAAUAAAUUUACUCAAAACUAAUUUUUUGAACAUCAAAAAUCCUAAAUUAGUAAAUUUGUAAUAAGUUUACCCUCCUUUUUUAAAAAAAAAAAAAUUAGAGUAAUUCACAAUUAUGAUAAAUGGAGAAUAAAACCCAAAAUUGAUAUAUUUGUGAAAUGCCACAUGCCAUUCAACUCAACAUUUGACAAUAAAAUUUAAUAAAAACUAACAAAUGGUAAAUUUGUCACGAAUGUAUAAGUUUAGGAUUUAUUGUAAUAAAAAUAAUUAAUUUAGGUUUAAUUUAUCAUAGUUGUACAAAUUUUGGUUAGUCAUAACCCCUUAAUUUAUUCAAUUUUAUCUUGGACCUUUUUUUUCCAAAAAAAAAAAAAUACAAUAAAACCCUUUCAAUGAAUUUUCAUAUGAAACUGCCAAUGUGUCACUAAGAAAUAAUAGGAUAAGUAUGUUGGAAGUUUUAAAAAUGGAAGUACAAUUGAGUUAUAAAACUUUCAAAAAGUGCAAUUAAGUCCUAAAACUUAUUACGGAAAUGCAGUUGAGCCCUAAAAAUUUUAAAAAGUACAAUCAAGUCCUAAAAUUUGUUAGAUUAGUCAAAUCUAAGUUAUUCCGUUGAUUGUACUUUUUGAAAGUUUUUAGGCUUGAUUGCAUUUUCAAAAUAAGUUUUAGGACUUGAUUACAAUUUUUGAAAGUAUUAGAAUUCAAUUGCACUUUUGUGACAAAUUUUAGGACAUCUAAUACUCUUAUAAAAAAAAUCUACAUAGGAUCCUUAAAUUGCACUUUUCAACGUAAGUUUUAAAACAUAAUUUCAUUUUUAAUUGAACCGAAUGAAUAUUUUAGGACUCAAAUAAACUUUUAUCAAAUGAUAAGGACUUGAUUGAACUAACUAAAAAAUUUGAGACUUGAUUGGAAUCCGUACAUAAGAUUUAGGACUUGUUGACAACUGUACCUUUACGAUCCUACCAUUCAACUAUGUUCUUAUUUUUGUAAGCCAUAUCAUAUUUCGCAUAUAUGAUCAAUUUGAUAGACCUACUCGAUCUUACAGGGAAUCUUCUACGGUUGCACACUCAAGUUAUUACUUUUUGAUCUCGUGUUGUUGUUGUUCAUGAAUAACUUGAUUAUUUUGAUACACAGAUAGAAAUAUCACUCAUAAGGAACUCAUUUGAAAAACUACUACGUAAGAUAUUUAAAUAGUUAGUGAACAUGUCAUAUCAUGGAGUCAUCGUAGGCAGCUUGAAUGUUACUAAUUUUUAUAUUAUUAAAAAAAAUACAUCGUAGAAUAUCGGUAUAAUAACUUGAUAUUUAAUAUAAGACAAAUAGAGAUUCAAUCAAAAUGCGUCAUGAAUUGUCUUCAAUCAUAAUAGACUUUUAUUAAAUGAUAAGGACUUGAUUGAACUAACUUCAAAAUCUGAGACUUGAUUGUAAUUUGUACAUAAGAUUUGGGACUUGUUGACUAUUGUAUUGUUAUGAUCUUACCAUUCAACUAUGUUCCUAUUUGUGUAAGUCAUAUCAUAUUUUGCAUAUAUGAUCAAUUUGAUAUAACUACUAGAUCUUAGAGGGAAUCUUCUACAAUUUCACACCCAAAUAUUACCUUUUGAUCUCGUGUAAUCGUUACUCAUUAUAACUUGAUUAUUUUUAUACGCAGGUAGAAAUAUCACUCAUAAGGAACCCAUUUGAAAAACUAUUAUGUACAAUAUUUAAAUAAUUAGUGAACAUGUCAUAUCACAGAAUCACCGAACUCGGUGAUAGAUUUAGCCGAUUGACUUGUAUGAUACUACUUUUCAUAAUUAAAAAAAAAAAGUCAAAGAAAGUCAGUAUAAUAAAUUGAUAUCAAAUAUAGGACAAAAUGGAGAUUCAAUCAAAAUGCAUCAUGAGUUGUCUUCGACCUUUUUCCACCAUUGCGGGAAACUCAUCCAUCUUCAACAAUCGCUUCUCAGCUAGUGAAUCAUUUUAAUUCCUUUUGUGAUUAUUUUCUUCAAAAACAGCUAAAACUAGUUACUCUCUCGAUAUCUAUCUUUUACGUAAUAUUUAUAAAAAUUUUGAUCUUGAGCACUUCAUGCAAAUUAUACAUCAUGCUAUAAGUUAUCAGAAAAAAAGAAGUUGCAUUGUCUUUUCUUUUUAGCCAUCAAGUUAUCUUUUAGCAACUGGUCACUUCAAACAUACUUAAAAUUAUAUUUGGGAGUAUUUUACAAAAAGAUAAUGAAGAGAGAUAAUUGCAACGGGAUUAGUCAUUGUUUAUAAAAGUUGCUCGGCCAUUCAAGGAGCCCAAAAUCCAUUGAGGAAAUUGGGCUUCCCUAUAUUAUGAAGGAUCUCUAUUGAGUAUUCCUAUAAAGGACCAAAUUUCGAAAAAGCCCUAACUUUAGGUCCAAUCUCAAUUAUUUCUCAAAUUUUUGUUUACUAAAAAGAAAUUUCCAACUUUUACUCUAAUUCCAAAUUUAUCCAAAAUUUCUUAAUAGUUGGACGGUAAUGUAGAUGCAAAGAUUUAACCAAAAGAGUUGUUUGAACUACUCUAUAACACCUCAAAUUUUAUGAACUACAAUUCGCUAUAUAGCACCUUGAAAUCCUAGGUUUAGGUAAUCCACAAUAUACAAACACGAUCAUAAACUUAAAACACUAAAUUGGAGUUACUACUAAUUGAUUUGGAUUAUGUCAAUUGGACAUCUAAAUGUAUGUGAUAAGGAAAUUGGUGUUUGAAAAUCUACAAAUCUUAAGUUGGGGAUUCGAUGACGCAUCAGAUGGAUUCACAUCCGGCAAUGAUCUUUUAAUUCAGUUUGAAAUAUAUUAUGACCAUAAAAAAGAUAAAAAUGGCAAUUACGAUUUUCUGUGAAAAAAAUAUAGAGGGACUACUGUUUGAUUAUCCUCACUAACAAAAUUGUGAAAAAAGAAGAAGGAAAAAGUCAUGGCCUUAUCUUUCCUCCGACAAACCGACAUCACCAUUGAGAGAGAAAAUCGAACUUUCUGUCGGUGAAUAUUCUUUUUUUUUCACCAGAAAAGCACAAUAGGACUAAUCAGUCACUUUCAAUCUUUCUGGAAUGCCAAAAAGAAGGAUGUGGUGGAAGCAUGCUCAAGCUCAAUCUUAUUUUAUUCAAAUAAAGUCACUGGAAAGGCAACUUUGAUAAUNNNNNNNNNNNNNNNNNNNNNNNNNNNNNNNNNNNNNNNNNNNNNNNNNNNNNNNNNNNNNNNNNNNNNNNNNNNNNNNNNNNNNNNNNNNNNNNNNNNNNNNNNNAUCAUCCGCUUGAGAUUCCAGGUAUCGUCCUUGCACCUAUAAGACCAAUACGCCCACCCAAAAGUGGCACGCCCGUAAACAUCUUGCUGAGCCUUGGCAAACUUUCCCGAAUCCUCCUUUGUUGCCCCGUCGAAGGCCAAUGCCGAG
RNAcentral lists this long non-coding RNA (26709 nucleotides) under Eucalyptus grandis. RNAcentral describes it as "long non-coding RNA (EGRA_LNC005453)". The record is from RNAcentral. Lineage: Eukaryota; Viridiplantae; Streptophyta; Magnoliopsida; Myrtales; Myrtaceae.